Molecule: ribosomal RNA, 462 nt
Filed under: uncultured bacterium
Lineage: Bacteria
Description: bacterial SSU rRNA
Rfam family: Bacterial small subunit ribosomal RNA
Source: RNAcentral
AGAGUUUGAUCCUGGCUCAGGAUGAACGCUAGCGGCAGGCCUAAUACAUGCAAGUCGUGGGGCAGCACAGGUAGCAAUACUGGGUGGCGACCGGCAAACGGGUGCGGAACACGUACGCAACCUUCCUUUAAGCGGGGGAUAGCCCAGGGAAACUUGGAUUAAUACCCCAUAGGAUCGUAAGAUGGCAUCAUCAAGCGAUUAAAGCUCCGGCACUUAAAGAUGGGCGUGCGGCUGAUUAGGUAGUUGGCGGGGUAACGGCCCACCAAGCCGACGAUCAGUAACUGGUGUGAGAGCACGACCAGUCACACGGGCACUGAGACACGGGCCCGACUCCUACGGGAGGCAGCAGUAAGGAAUAUUGGUCAAUGGACGCAAGUCUGAACCAGCCAUGCCGCGUGGAGGAUGAAGGCCCUCUGGGUUGUAAACUUCUUUUAUCAGGGAAGAACUCUAUCUUUUCUAAGG